RNAcentral lists this small nuclear RNA (142 nucleotides) under Capsicum annuum. RNAcentral describes it as "U4 spliceosomal RNA". It matches the Rfam family "U4 spliceosomal RNA". Rfam says of the family: U4 small nuclear RNA (U4 snRNA) is a component of the major U2-dependent spliceosome. The structure of U4 snRNA from yeast and human has been reported. U4 snRNA presents a k-turn RNA motif in the 5p-SL related to recognition of Snu13 protein. The record is from Rfam by way of RNAcentral. Lineage: Eukaryota; Viridiplantae; Streptophyta; Magnoliopsida; Solanales; Solanaceae.
AUUUUUGUGCUUGGCGCAAUAACGCAGCUAGUGAGGUGCUAACCGUGGCGCGUCUAUUGCUUAUUGAAAACUAUUUCCAAACCUCCUCUUCGGCCUAGGUUUUGCCUGAGUUCUAUACAAGUUCACUGAAGUAAUGGGAACU